This is a long non-coding RNA of Neopelma chrysocephalum (saffron-crested tyrant-manakin), 722 nucleotides long. RefSeq lists it as uncharacterized. Lineage: Eukaryota; Metazoa; Chordata; Aves; Passeriformes; Pipridae. The transcript has 3 exons. The record is from RefSeq and is a predicted model, not a curated record.
AGAAAUCCAGACUUGAAAUCUAGGCAUUAGCUGUGAAAACCGAACAAACAGAGGAGAGAGAUUCUCAGCAGAAGUGCACCCUUGCAAAACACACACCAAAUCCAGCACUGCAAUUAUCUGUGCUACUAAGGAAGCCCAAUGAAGCAUCUCUGGCAAAACCCAUGAAGCAUCUCUGGCAAACCUCCCACCCUUUCAUCUGCUUUCUCUGCUCACUCUGUGAGCAAGAUAGAUCUCUUCUUCUUCAUCACAGGAAGGUACUUACAGAAAGAUGCCUUCUUCAUGCAGUGUGCCUGGCCCACAUGGGAGAGCAGCCCUAGGCAGCUGAGGGUUCAGGGGCUCUUGGAACGGCAGUACUCGGCUAAUGUGGCAAACCAGCCUCUGCAGGGUUAAAGAUGAGCUCAUCAGUCUGGGUGAUGACAAGUAGGAAAGAAAAUACAAGCAAGGAGUCAUUAAUUAAGGCAAGAAGCUAGGAGCAGAGACCACAGAAUGCUAAUCAGUCUGGAGGGAAGGCUGCGUGGAAAGCAGCAAUGAAGCUCCUUCAGCUUUAAUUAAAUCUAACUAUAUCAAGGAUGUGACAUCUUUGCUUCACCUCUGCUUUUGAGCUGAGAAACCGGUUGGAGCAUGUACGCUGUUACUGAGCAGACAGGAAUUCCCUCCUGGCUCCAGAGCCUUCCCAACUGAAACUCAGUGCCUGCCCAUCCUGCUCAUGUGCUCCCCAAAAU